RNAcentral lists this ribosomal RNA (789 nucleotides) under uncultured Pelagibacteraceae bacterium. RNAcentral's name for it is "bacterial SSU rRNA". It matches the Rfam family "Bacterial small subunit ribosomal RNA", at positions 41 to 878 of the family's 1533-position model. The record is from RNAcentral. Lineage: Bacteria; Pseudomonadati; Pseudomonadota; Alphaproteobacteria; Candidatus Pelagibacterales; Candidatus Pelagibacteraceae.
GGCACGCCUAACACAUGCAAGUCGAACGAAGUAGCAAUACUUAGUGGCAGACGGGUGAGUAACAUGUAGGUAUCUGCCCUUUGGCCUGGAAUAACACGAGGAAACUUGUGCUAAUACCGGAUAAGUCUUUACGGAGAAAGCUUUAUGCACCAUUGGAUGAGCCUGCACUUGAUUAGUUUGUUGGUAGGGUAAUGGCCUACCAAGACUGUGAUCAAUAGCUGAUUUGAGAGGAUGAUCAGCCACAUUGGGACUGAGACACGGCCCAAACUCCUACGGGAGGCAGCAGUGGGGAAUCUUGCACAAUGGAGGAAACUCUGAUGCAGCGAUGCCGCGUGAGUGAAGAAGGCCCUUGGGUUGUAAAGCUCUUUCGUCGGGGAAGAAAAUGACUGUACCCGAAUAAGAAGGUCCGGCUAACUUCGUGCCAGCAGCCGCGGUAAUACGAAGGGACCUAGCGUAGUUCGGAAUUACUGGGCUUAAAGAGUUCGUAGGUGGUUGAAAAAGUUGGUGGUGAAAUCCCAGAGCUUAACUCUGGAACUGCCAUCAAAACUUUUCAGCUAGAGUUUGAUAGAGGAAAGCAGAAUUUCUAGUGUAGAGGUGAAAUUCGUAGAUAUUAGAAAGAAUACCAAUUGCGAAGGCAGCUUUCUGGAUCAUUACUGACACUGAGGAACGAAAGCAUGGGUAGCGAAGAGGAUUAGAUACCCUCGUAGUCCAUGCCGUAAACGAUGUGUGUUAGACGUUGGAAAUUUAUUUUCAGUGUCGCAGCGAAAGCGAUAAACACACCGCCUGGGG